GAAGAGCAAAGAAAGGAGGAAGAGAGAAUAAAAGAAAGAGAAGAAAAGGAAGAAAUUGAAAGAAAAAAAGUGGAAGAAAGUGAUCAAGAGAAACUAAGAGAAAUAUCUCCUACAACCACAAUGGAAUCAAAACUCUAAAGGGGAGGUUUUCUAUCCUUUCACUUUUCUUCAUUUAGUUUUGAAAGUCCAAAAUCUCACUUUUCUUUCCAAGAAUUUGC
Molecule: long non-coding RNA, 218 nt
Filed under: Vigna radiata
Lineage: Eukaryota; Viridiplantae; Streptophyta; Magnoliopsida; Fabales; Fabaceae
Description: long non-coding RNA (VRAD_LNC016808)
Source: RNAcentral